Musa acuminata AAA Group (dessert banana) is the source of this 3428-nucleotide RNA transcript. It is a transcript of the gene named meiotic recombination protein SPO11-2-like, with no coding region annotated. The record is from RefSeq and is a predicted model, not a curated record. The transcript has 17 exons. NCBI's taxonomy places the organism in Eukaryota, Viridiplantae, Streptophyta, Magnoliopsida, Zingiberales, Musaceae.
UAACUACUUGUUCACUCUGAUUAUGGGAAGCGGAUGGAUACCGGAGGGCGCUGUUAACGACCGCGUGGGACCGACAUGGGUUUCUCUCCGGUCAUGAGGUGGGUACAUUUGAUUGGUAAGGCAUCGAAGCGACGUGGAAUAAAGCCACGAAUCGCCAUCGCGGAAUCCACCGUUCUCUUUUGGAUCGGCUCGUUCCCACGCAAAACAGUCUUCCUUUUUGGGGCUUCACAGAGAGACCGAGGAGAUCCGAACCAAUCGCUCUCACCUUCUUUCCUUGGCAAUCUGUUCUUCUUCCUCUUUUCUUGAUCGGUUUAGGGAAAACGUUUGAUCAAAUUUCUUUCUCAUCGUCUGGGGGCGAAUUGAGCUACAUUGUCUGUUCUUAGAUGCUUAGCAGCAGUAAUUGUCAGUGUUGUGAUAGAUCUGUCGAAACAAAGAUUGAUAGUCGGUGACACGUUGGAACAAUUAGGUUUUGACAAGAUAUCUGCACGUCCAUGGCGCCACGGUCUGUGUUUGCCUCAUGUUAAUCGCUCUCUUGGUUUUGCCUCAAAUUGUGUGCCCAAUUGAUGGCUUUUGUCUGUGAAAGCAUAUCGUUUAAGGUGAAUUCCCUCGCGUCGAUUGAGACGGAGCUCCCUUUCAGCUACCAAGUCUUCCCGACUGUCAACCACAGGGUGGGAUCAAGAAGAGCGCCGAGAAUUUGGUAGAGCUUCUCAUUUGAGAUCUUCCAUGUCAACGUCGAUGAAUCCUUUUUACUUGUGCACCACAAACCCAUUAAAUGAGGACAAGGUGAAGCUCCUGAAGCAGAGAACACCCGAUCUCUAUCAGGUCAACAUGAUACUCGACAAUUUGCCUGUGAGGAGGUUCACCAAACGGAAUGGCAUCACCAUCCAGUGGACUGUGCGAAGAGACCUGAGAAGAUAUGAGGGGUUGGACAAAAAGGCCCAAACUCAGCUGAAAGAGGAGCUGUCUGGAUGGAAACUUGUCGUGAAUGACGUCUUCGGGUAGCCAACUUGCUCGAAGCUGCUCUGCGUCAUGGUUGGAGAUGGCAUACAGAUUGCAACCAUGGUGGUUGGAACAAUUGUGUUUGCUGCUCUUGGAUUGAUCUCUCCUGCUUCAAGAGGCAUGCUCUUGACAGGAAUGAUCGUUCUAUAUCUUUUCCUGGGAUGCUGCUGGGUAUGUUGGAGUAAGGCCCUGGAGGACAAUAGAAGGUGGUUCACAGGGAUCGAGAUCUCUUUCCUGGUCGAUUGUGUUUCUCUUCCCAGGGAUCGUAGUCAUCGUUCCUCAGCAUUAUGAACUUCUUGUAGCUGGGGAAGAAAAGCACACGAGCAGAGCCUUUGUGGUUCUGCAUCUUGGUUCCUCUAACCCUUUGGGUUAUUGCUUGGGCACUCAAGCGGAACCUAUAUGGUAUCAUGUUCUAAUAAAUCAGAGCUCAAUAGAAAUUCCUGCCAGAACCCUUCAUGGCUCCUUGUCCUUGCUGCCAGAACUCUACCAUUUGGGACCCUCUUUAUUGAGCUCUUCUUUAUCCUUUCCAGUGUUUGGCUUGAGGACUGGCGGUGGCGGUGGAAAUCUUUCUUUUCUUCUGAAUCAGCUGCCCUUUAUCUAUUCCUCUACUUCAUGAACUACUUGGAUUUUAAGUUAGGAGCUUGAGUGGGCUUAUAUCCUUUAUCUUGGCUAUUUACUGAUCAUGACUCUUGCAAUCAUGUUAUCUACCGGUGCCAUUGGCUUUUUGAUGUCUUUUUAUUUUGUUCACUACCUUUUCUCGUCGGUCAAGAUUGAUUAAAGGGAGGAGCAGCACUCAUGACUCUUUUUGAAUUCCUAUUUCUCAGUACGUAGCACACAGAUCGCCAUUCUGGAUUCGAGACUGACUUGAGAUUUCUCUCCAGUUUCCACCAUCCAUUGUCGGCACAAGUGCAAGAAGAACAUGGCUGCUAGUGGUUUGACAUCCGCGGAGCACCGUCUCUGGACCAUCUCUUCUUCCGAGUGUACAGGCAACAACAGAUCAGUAGGAAGUACGAUAACAGUGGGUUACGUCAUGGGCUUUUGAGUGAUGUUUCUUCGGUCUUUCUCUCUCACUCUGUCUGCACAAGGUCUCUCAUGAGAGCAAAUGAUGCGAAGGCGUUUGUUAGAGUGUGGAUGGUUAUGGCAAUGUGCUUUCGGAUUCUUGUCCAAGGGAAGCUUGCUACCCAGAGGGAGCUUUUCUAUAAGCUGCUUUGUGACGCACCUGAAUAUUUCAGGUCACAGCGUCAGGUCAACAGAACAGUACAAGAUGUUGUGGCAUUGCUCCGUUGCACUCGGCAUAGUCUAGGCAUCAUGGCAUCCAGCAGAGGUGCAGUUAUUGGACGCAUGGUGUUAGAGAUAUUACUGCCAUGGGAGUCAACCUACAGAACAACCAAAGAUUUUGAAAACAUAUCAACUGAGCCUGGUGAACAGAUUGUUGAUUGUUCCAUGAUUGGACAUGCUGGCUAUGCUAUAACUGGGGACCUUUGUACGUUGAGCAAACUUGUUCUACAUUCUGAUGCUCGAUAUAUCAUUAUAAUAGAGAAGGAUGCUAUAUUUCAGCGGUUGGCAGAAGAUCACUUCUUCAAUCAAAUACCAUGCAUAUUAAUCACUUCCAAAGGAUAUCCUGAUAUUGCCACAAGGUUUUUACUGCAUCGGAUAAGCCAGACUUUUCCAGACAUGACAAUCUUGGCUUUAAUGGAUUGGAACCCAGCUGGAUUGGCAAUACUAUGUACCUACAAGUUUGGAAGCAUAACUACUGGUUUAGAGUCAUACAGAUAUGCUUGCAAUGUUAAAUGGCUUGGACUGCGAGCAGAUGAUCUGCAGAUUAUACCUCAACAAGUGAUGAUGCAGUUGAAGCCACAUGAGAUAAAAACAGCUAAAAGCCUAAUGUCUUCCAAGUUGUUGCAGGAGAGGUACCAGGCUGAGUUGUCAUUGAUGGUUGAGAGGGGCCAUCGUGCAGAAAUUGAAGCUCUGUACUGUCAUGGAUUUGAUUUCUUGGGAAAAUAUAUAGCAAAGAAGAUUGUACAGGCUGAUUACAUUUAAUGUGAUACUACUCCACGAAGUAAGACAGAGAAGAGCAGCAAGGUUCAUUGGAGAGGCAAAUGUAAGCCACAUUGGACCUUCAUGAACGCAGUUUCAGCGAAGAGAUUAAUGCGCAGGCUCGUGCGCGCACACGCGCGGACGCGGAGGGAGACGAGCGCCAAUUGCUGCAAAAGGAAGUAACGCCACAGCCGACAGUUACGGUGGUGCGCGAGGAGAUGCUCGUGGUUGGGAUCUAACCACAUUCGAGAUCAGACGACAGGAGCACGCAGGACUUGACAGACUCGGCAGCGGAAUUAAAAGAGAGGUAGAGAAGGGGAAGCGGAUCUUGAAGGUUUCCUUCCGCUACUAUCGCAGCGACAAAAGGAGAAGCGUUCAAUUGAGAGAGGUAG